RNAcentral lists this unclassified non-coding RNA (271 nucleotides) under fungal sp. RNAcentral's name for it is "partial internal transcribed spacer region". The stretch from base 1 to 46 matches the Rfam family "Eukaryotic small subunit ribosomal RNA", at positions 1786 to 1831 of the family's 1831-position model. Lineage: Eukaryota; Fungi. The record is from RNAcentral.
AAGUCGUAACAAGGUAACCGUAGGUGAACCUGCGGUUGGAUCAUUACUAAAUGAUUACUCUGCCCGGUUGUUGGACUCUUUUGUUCACCUGGGUAGGGUAUAAACCUUUUGUGCACUGUAACUGUAUUUUUCGGUGUGGAGUCUGAACUUGGUCGAAUGCAGUAUGCCUUCCGAGUUCCUAGUCCCACCGUACCCUUAAACCCCUUUAAAUUUGGCUGAGAAGUAAAUUGUUAAUAGCAAACAACUUUUGACAACGGAUCUCUUGGCUCUC